UACGUAGGGGGCUAGCGUUGUCCGGAAUCAUUGGGCGUAAAGAGCGCGUAGGCGGCCUGAUAAGUCCGGUGUGAAAGUCACAGGCUCAACCUGUGAAUGCCGCUGGAAACUGUCUGGCUAGAGUCCGGAAGGGGCGAGUGGAAUUCCUGGUGUAGCGGUGAAAUGCGCAGAUAUCAGGAGGAACACCAAUGGAGAAGGCAGCUAGAUGGGACGGUACUGACGCUGAGGCGCGAAAGCGUGGGGAGCGAACAGG
RNAcentral lists this ribosomal RNA (253 nucleotides) under uncultured bacterium. RNAcentral's name for it is "partial 16S ribosomal RNA". It matches the Rfam family "Bacterial small subunit ribosomal RNA", at positions 524 to 776 of the family's 1533-position model. The record is from RNAcentral.